UGAGGAGAUUCAGCACAGACACAAUCACUUCACUCAGAGGGGGAGUCUCAUCUCUGAAGAACUGCAUUCUGGGUAUGAAGAUGCUGAUGAGCUUCUCUCAGCAAAAGAGUUCAAUACUGUAUAUUAUGAUGAUGUCACCAAUGGCAGUGGCCUAAAAG
Molecule: long non-coding RNA, 158 nt
Organism: Carassius auratus (goldfish)
Lineage: Eukaryota; Metazoa; Chordata; Actinopteri; Cypriniformes; Cyprinidae
Exons: 3
Source: RefSeq, a predicted model, not a curated record